Molecule: ribosomal RNA, 2803 nt
Filed under: Salmonella enterica
Lineage: Bacteria; Pseudomonadati; Pseudomonadota; Gammaproteobacteria; Enterobacterales; Enterobacteriaceae
Description: bacterial LSU rRNA
Rfam family: Bacterial large subunit ribosomal RNA
Source: RNAcentral
GAGGUUAAGCGACUAAGCGUACACGGUGGAUGCCCUGGCAGUCAGAGGCGAUGAAGGACGUGCUAAUCUGCGAUAAGCGCCGGUAAGGUGAUAUGAACCGUUAUAACCGGCGAUUUCCGAAUGGGGAAACCCAGUGUGACUCGUCACACUAUCAUUAACUGAAUCCAUAGGUUAAUGAGGCGAACCGGGGGAACUGAAACAUCUAAGUACCCCGAGGAAAAGAAAUCAACCGAGAUUCCCCCAGUAGCGGCGAGCGAACGGGGAGGAGCCCAGAGCCUGAAUCAGCAUGUGUGUUAGUGGAAGCGUCUGGAAAGGCGCGCGAUACAGGGUGACAGCCCCGUACACAAAAGCGCAUGUGCUGUGAGCUCGAUGAGUAGGGCGGGACACGUGGUAUCCUGUCUGAAUAUGGGGGGACCAUCCUCCAAGGCUAAAUACUCCUGACUGACCGAUAGUGAACCAGUACCGUGAGGGAAAGGCGAAAAGAACCCCGGCGAGGGGAGUGAAAAAGAACCUGAAACCGUGUACGUACAAGCAGUGGGAGCACCCUUUGGGGUGUGACUGCGUACCUUUUGUAUAAUGGGUCAGCGACUUAUAUUCUGUAGCAAGGUUAACCGAAUAGGGGAGCCGGAGGGAAACCGAGUCUUAACCGGGCGUUAAGUUGCAGGGUAUAGACCCGAAACCCGGUGAUCUAGCCAUGGGCAGGUUGAAGGUUGGGUAACACUAACUGGAGGACCGAACCGACUAAUGUUGAAAAAUUAGCGGAUGACCUGUGGCUGGGGGUGAAAGGCCAAUCAAACCGGGAGAUAGCUGGUUCUCCCCGAAAGCUAUUUAGGUAGCGCCUCGUGAAUUCAUCUCCGGGGGUAGAGCACUGUUUCGGCUAGGGGGCCAUCCCGGCUUACCAACCCGAUGCAAACUGCGAAUACCGGAGAAUGUUAUCACGGGAGACACACGGCGGGUGCUAACGUCCGUCGUGAAGAGGGAAACAACCCAGACCGCCAGCUAAGGUCCCAAAGUCAUGGUUAAGUGGGAAACGAUGUGGGAAGGCCCAGACAGCCAGGAUGUUGGCUUAGAAGCAGCCAUCAUUUAAAGAAAGCGUAAUAGCUCACUGGUCGAGUCGGCCUGCGCGGAAGAUGUAACGGGGCUAAACCAUGCACCGAAGCUGCGGCAGCGACGCUGAUGCGUUGUUGGGUAGGGGAGCGUUCUGUAAGCCUGUGAAGGUGGCCUGUGAGGGUUGCUGGAGGUAUCAGAAGUGCGAAUGCUGACAUAAGUAACGAUAAAGCGGGUGAAAAGCCCGCUCGCCGGAAGACCAAGGGUUCCUGUCCAACGUUAAUCGGGGCAGGGUGAGUCGACCCCUAAGGCGAGGCCGAAAGGCGUAGUCGAUGGGAAACGGGUUAAUAUUCCCGUACUUGGUGUUACUGCGAAGGGGGGACGGAGAAGGCUAUGUUGGCCGGGCGACGGUUGUCCCGGUUUAAGCGUGUAGGUGUGUGUUCCAGGUAAAUCCGGUUCACUUUAACACUGAGGCGUGAUGACGAGGCACUACGGUGCUGAAGCAACAAAUGCCCUGCUUCCAGGAAAAGCCUCUAAGCAUCAGGUAACAUCAAAUCGUACCCCAAACCGACACAGGUGGUCAGGUAGAGAAUACCAAGGCGCUUGAGAGAACUCGGGUGAAGGAACUAGGCAAAAUGGUGCCGUAACUUCGGGAGAAGGCACGCUGACACGUAGGUGAAGUGAUUUACUCAUGGAGCUGAAGUCAGUCGAAGAUACCAGCUGGCUGCAACUGUUUAUUAAAAACACAGCACUGUGCAAACACGAAAGUGGACGUAUACGGUGUGACGCCUGCCCGGUGCCGGAAGGUUAAUUGAUGGGGUCAGCGCAAGCGAAGCUCCUGAUCGAAGCCCCGGUAAACGGCGGCCGUAACUAUAACGGUCCUAAGGUAGCGAAAUUCCUUGUCGGGUAAGUUCCGACCUGCACGAAUGGCGUAAUGAUGGCCAGGCUGUCUCCACCCGAGACUCAGUGAAAUUGAACUCGCUGUGAAGAUGCAGUGUACCCGCGGCAAGACGGAAAGACCCCGUGAACCUUUACUAUAGCUUGACACUGAACAUUGAGCCUUGAUGUGUAGGAUAGGUGGGAGGCUUUGAAGUGUGGACGCCAGUCUGCAUGGAGCCGGCCUUGAAAUACCACCCUUUAAUGUUUGAUGUUCUAACGUGGACCCGUGAUCCGGGUUGCGGACAGUGUCUGGUGGGUAGUUUGACUGGGGCGGUCUCCUCCUAAAGAGUAACGGAGGAGCACGAAGGUUGGCUAAUCCUGGUCGGACAUCAGGAGGUUAGUGCAAUGGCAUAAGCCAGCUUGACUGCGAGCGUGACGGCGCGAGCAGGUGCGAAAGCAGGUCAUAGUGAUCCGGUGGUUCUGAAUGGAAGGGCCAUCGCUCAACGGAUAAAAGGUACUCCGGGGAUAACAGGCUGAUACCGCCCAAGAGUUCAUAUCGACGGCGGUGUUUGGCACCUCGAUGUCGGCUCAUCACAUCCUGGGGCUGAAGUAGGUCCCAAGGGUAUGGCUGUUCGCCAUUUAAAGUGGUACGCGAGCUGGGUUUAGAACGUCGUGAGACAGUUCGGUCCCUAUCUGCCGUGGGCGCUGGAGAACUGAGGGGGGCUGCUCCUAGUACGAGAGGACCGGAGUGGACGCAUCACUGGUGUUCGGGUUGUCAUGCCAAUGGCACUGCCCGGUAGCUAAAUGCGGAAGAGAUAAGUGCUGAAAGCAUCUAAGCACGAAACUUGCCCCGAGAUGAGUUCUCCCUGAGACUUAG